RNAcentral lists this ribozyme (116 nucleotides) under Aedes aegypti (yellow fever mosquito). RNAcentral's name for it is "drz-agam-1 ribozyme". It matches the Rfam family "drz-agam-1 ribozyme". Lineage: Eukaryota; Metazoa; Arthropoda; Insecta; Diptera; Culicidae. The record is from Rfam by way of RNAcentral.
UGCCUAGCAACUCCUUUCCCUUCCUCCUCAAGGUACUGCCCGGAGUACGAGCAACUUGAGGGAAGAUCGGGAAAUUAAUACCGGUGGGAGCUCUGGUCGUAUGCUGAUAGGGAAGA